RNAcentral lists this ribosomal RNA (301 nucleotides) under uncultured bacterium. RNAcentral describes it as "partial 16S ribosomal RNA". It matches the Rfam family "Bacterial small subunit ribosomal RNA", at positions 509 to 807 of the family's 1533-position model. The record is from RNAcentral.
CAGUCGCCGCGGGAAUACGAAGGGGGCUAGCGUUGUUCGGAUUUACUGGGCGUAAAGCGCACGUAGGCGGACUUUUAAGUCAGGGGUGAAAUCCCGGGGCUCAACCCCGGAACUGCCUUUGAUACUGGAAGUCUUGAGUAUGGUAGAGGUGAGUGGAAUUCCGAGUGUAGAGGUGAAAUUCGUAGAUAUUCGGAAGAACACCAGUGGCGAAGGCGACUGACUGGACAAGUAUUGACGCUGAGGUGCGAAAGCGUGGGGAGCAAACAGGAUUAGAUACCCCUGUAGUCCCUGUCUCUUAUAC